Molecule: small nucleolar RNA, 88 nt
Organism: Diospyros lotus (date-plum)
Lineage: Eukaryota; Viridiplantae; Streptophyta; Magnoliopsida; Ericales; Ebenaceae
Product: small nucleolar RNA Z159/U59
Exons: 1
Source: RefSeq, a predicted model, not a curated record
GUCUCUGAUGAUGAUCAAUUGUAAAACUUUCGUUCUGCUGAGAAUCUUUCGGUGCGGAAAUGCUUUUGGAGACCUGAACUGAAGAGAC